RNAcentral lists this ribosomal RNA (822 nucleotides) under uncultured Acidobacteriota bacterium. Its description in RNAcentral is "bacterial SSU rRNA". It matches the Rfam family "Bacterial small subunit ribosomal RNA", at positions 47 to 845 of the family's 1533-position model. Lineage: Bacteria; Pseudomonadati; Acidobacteriota. The record is from RNAcentral.
CCUCAGACAUGCAAGUCGAACGAGAAAGUUCCCUUCGGGGGGCGAGUAAAGUGGCGCACGGGUGAGUAACACGUAGGUAAUCUACCUUCGGGUGGGGAAUAACGCAGGGAAACUUGCGCUAACACCGCAUAAUGCAGCGGCACCACAUGGUGACAGUUGUUAAAGCGGGGGAUUUUAGGACCUCGCGCCUGAAGAGGAGCCUGCGGCAGAUUAGCUAGUUGGUAGGGUAACGGCUUACCAAGGCGACGAUCUGUAACCGGCCUGAGAGGGCGGUCGGUCACACUGACACUGACAUACGGGUCAGACUCCUACGGGAGGCAGCAGUCGGGAAUUUUGGGCAAUGGGCGAAAGCCUGACCCAGCAACGCCGCGUGAAGGAUGAAAUCCCUCGGGAUGUAAACUUCGCAAGAAUGGGAAGAAUGAGUAGGGGCUAAUACUCCCUAUGAUGACGGUACCAUUUGUAAGCUCCGGCUAACUCCGUGCCAGCAGCCGCGGUAAUACGGGGGGAGCAAGCGUUGUUCGGAUUUACUGGGCGUAAAGGGCGCGUAGGCGGUCAGCACAAGUCAGUUGUGAAAUCUCCGGGCUUAACUCGGAAAGGUCAACUGAUACUGUGCGACUAGAGUGCAGAAGGGGCAACUGGAAUUCUCGGUGUAGCGGUGAAAUGCGUAGAUAUCGAGAGGAACACCUGCGGCGAAGGCGGGUUGCUGGGCUGACACUGACGCUGAUGCGCGAAAGCCAGGGGAGCGAACGGGAUUAGAUACCCCGGUAGUCCUGGCCUUAAACGAUGGAUGCUUGGUGUCUGGAGUUUUAUAGUCUCCGGGUG